CAUUUACUGUAAUAGCGUUGUUUGUAGUGGUGCCCCAUCGAUUUUGCUCCGUUGUCUUCAGCUGAGGUUCUGACAGUGGUCCUGCCUGAAAUCAAAUCAGCCACCACAAACUGCAGUCUCGCAGCCAUUUCGGGCGCUCUCAUCAUGUCCACAUUUGCAGAAAACAAGGAUAAGUGCCGUGCCAUUGAGAUGGGCUGCAAGCUGUGUUUUAUGCAGGAGGUUUUAUUUUAGCAUAUUCUGCUAUUCUAUUUUCAGAUUGAUCCAUGUGCGCUUGUCAUCUCAGGGUCCAUGCAUUGCUGAGAUGCAGCUGAGUGCUUCAGCUCUGCUGUUCUCCACGUUUCUUCUUUAUACUCUCUGUGCAGAAACCGCUGUGUGCAGGGCAGGAGGUCUGUGCUGUGGUAGCCAUCCCUGCAGCCCCAUGUCCCAGACUCAUGCAGACUUAUUUGUCUUGAGUUUAAAUUCUUGUCCUUUUGUUCUACAACCACAGGGACUUCCGCCCUGCCAAAAAUAACCCUUAAAUGCUGCAACAGUGAGGGCUGUUGCUGCUGCCUCCAGGUGACCACUCACUCACCUGUUGGUAAGUGCUGGGCUUCCUGCAGCGUUGCUCAUACAGUAACGACAGUUUCCGUGGGCUGGUGUUAUUUGUGUCUUCUGUUAUUUGCUGGCUCUGCUGUUAUUUGUGAUGUGUUGUUGCAUUCCUCUUUUGCCAAUGUGCCCCCUGAUCCUGGGUGCCCGAAAGCAGGCGCCGCUGUCUGAUGGAAGUGCUGUUUUGUGAGGAAAUGGGCCCAAAUUGUGUGGUUAUCCCUUGGCUCAUUAGAUUGGACUUCAAUCAUUGUGGUGAGUAAGGACAGCUGGUGUGAAACCUUCUGGAAUGGGGUAACUAAGGUCAGCCAUGGUCAAACUGUGAUGUCAGACAUCCACUUAUAAUGCUGUGUCCUCACUUGCGGAGCAGCAAUGAUCAGCAUCACUGUUAGUGCAACUGAGAGAGUUGGUGAAGAGAGAUGAACUCUCAGGUGUAGAAGUUCUUCCUGCCCUUAAAUACAGGCCAUCGUGGUUUAUUGUUAGUAAAGACUCAGUGUUGAGAGUGCCGGGCUCUUCAGAUGGAUGCUGCCCUACAGAGCAGCCCUUCAGCUGCCUUCUUGGGGCUCCUGCCAUUUCCCAGCUUCUUUGCCAGAGCCCCAUGCUGAGCAGGAGGAGCAGUGCAGGAGACCCGGCCAUUGUCCUCACUUAACUUUCUCACUGAACUUUGGAGGCAGCAUAACUUAUAGGAGAGGAUGUGAUGUCAUCUGGACCCUCUUCUGCGAAGAUCCAUGGUUCAGUAAAGAAUGGUUUCUGAAGAACUCUAGUAGAGAUUCAGAACUCAGGCUGUGUUUUGUCAUAACAUUUUCUUUAAUGGACUUUGCUGCAAUGUUUUCAUUUGUCAGCAUUCCUUCUUGAAAUUUAAUCAUCCAUUACAGAGUACUGUCUCUCAACCAUUUGGAGCACUCACAUCCCAUCCAGACCUGCACAAAGUGGGACAAGUUUCAUGAUGUGGAUUCUGGCCUCAGGCUAUGUUUCUUGACAAACAUUCUUCCACCUUGACUUGCUCAUGCAGAAGUGGUCCGGUGUGGAUGUGAAGGCAUGCUGUUUUCUUGCAGAGCAAACAAGAAGUGGGAAUGUUUUACAGCAUGUAUUCACAUGCAGUUUUGAUUUCCAAGUCCACUUAUUGCUGACAUGUAGCUGCCUUCUCCAGCGCUGUUCUUCUUUGCAAUUGUUCUGCAAAUGCUGCUUUGUGCAAGGCAGGUCUGUGAUGUGAAACCCAUCAAAGAAGCCCCAUGUCCCAGUGGCAUGCAAAUUUUCACUUUUUUUUCAAAGCAGAAUGUCUGUGGUCUUAUUCUACAACCACCAGGUCCUCCACGCUGACAAAUGUGUGUGUCAACAUUCACAGCCUUUGUUGCUGCCUCCAGGUGACCACUCACCCGUUGGUAAGUGCUGGGCUUCCUGCAGCUUUGCACAUACAGUAGCGACAGUUUCCCUGGGCUGGUGUUAUUUGCGUCUUCUGUUGUUAUUUCCUGGCUCUGCUGUUGUUUGUGAUGUGUUGUUGUAUUCCUCUUUUGCAAAUGUGCCCCCUGUUCCUGGGUGCCCGAAAGCAGGCACCGCUGUCUGAUGGAAGUGCUGUUUUGUGAGGAAAUGGGCCCAAACUGUGUGGUUAUCCCUGGGCUCAUUUGAUUGCACCUCAGCACAUUUUGUUGACUAAGUGAAGCUGCUGUGAAGCCUUCUAGAAUCUGUUAUUCUAGACUGCUUUUGAGCAGUUAAGACUUUUGAUGUCAACGUAAAUUAGAGCAUCUAUUUUUUUUUUUUUUACAAUAUGAUGUGGAAAUUUUGUUCAUCCAUCCCUUAAAUAACAUUACGUGAAUCCAUGUCUUGGAAUCCCUCCAAGGAAAUUUGAACAGUGGGCCUUAAAGCCUCUGUCCAUCCCCCAUCAUGGCAUCUAAUUUAUGCUGUUUGUGUCUGCUGUAAGUAUAUUUUUCUCAGUCAAAAUAGAGUCCAUUCUACCUUUGCAGUGGGAUCAGGAGCUUUAAGGAGUGUCUGACUUCCCUGCCUGGUGGAGGAACAUGGGGCAGGAGCUGAAGCUAUGGGCGUGCCUUGUGGAUGGCUGGAGCUGUCCCAUGUUUUUCGAGGUGCUGAAUUGAACUGCUUCUGCCUUACAGCAGCACUGUGACGAAAGCAGGAAAUUUCCUCAUUUUAGUGGUCCAUUCCAGCUUGAUUGGAAGGGAACCUGCUGGCAAAUGUAUUAGGUUAAUUGUAUCUUGCAACUGGAUUCUCACCCUGCCAUGGAGCAUGGUUGCCUACCCACAGCAUCUCAUCUUUAGAGAUGUGUUAGAUGAACAUCUAUAAGCGGAGUACAGGAAAGUCCAGGAAGAUCUUUUGCCUUUUUUGGUAGGGACAUCUUACUUCCCACUUUUCUAUGGGUCAUUACAUAUCAAUAAAGGACAUCUCGUGGAUGGGCUGUACUACAGGCCAUGUGGUCAGGGGGCGCCUGUGGAUGAGACCUUCUUGCUUUGGCUUCAGGAAUUGUCACAAUCUCACCCUCUCAUCUCGAUGGGGGAUUUGAAACACCCAGAUGUCUUCUGAGAAAGCAACACAGUGAGCUGCAAGCAAUCCCGGAGAUUCCUGUCAUGUGUUGAGGAUAACUUUCUGGUGCAGGUAUUAGACAAACUGACUGGAGCUGUAAUGUUUCUGGACCUGUUCCUCACCAGUUCAGAGGAGCUCAUUAAAGAGGUUAAGACUGGAGGCACUCUAGGCUGCAGUGACCAUGCUCUGUUGGAGUUUGUGGUCUUGAGGAAAAUGGACCUGUCAAAAGCAGAGUCAGGAUCCUGAACUUCAGGAGAGUGAACUUCAGGUUCUUUGAGGAUUUACUGUCUGAGAUGCCCUGGGAAGCUGUCCUUACAAACAAAGGAGUGUAGCAGAACUGGCAGCCCUUUAAGGAUGCCUUUCUGAGGGCACAAGAGCAAAGUGAGGGAUAAGAUAGAACAGCUCAGAGGUCAGAGUUCAAAGGUCAUCUACCUGUAUCCAUGCUUAAUAAGGAGAUUUCAGAUAGAAAAGCUUGGAGUUAAUUCCUACCAGGAACCCUGGUCAGACACAAAGUUAUCUCAACACAGUUUGGAGUGUCUUUUCAACAGGGACUUUUCUUAUUUUGAAAUAUUAAUGGGGUAGGUUGUAGCAAGUUGGGUCUCCCUGCCCUCAUGGAUAUUGUCAAUUAAAACAAACAAACAACUUGCAGAAAGAGAUAAAAAUCACAGUGGGGAAGAUAUUGGAGAAUAGAAGCAGACUGGGGCAUCAGAACAGAGUAUUGGAUAUGAUUGGUUUAUUGGUCAUCUCGUGGAAGGCUCAGCUGUCCAGCACAGCACACAGCACUUUUCCACAGCGGCACGGAGCUGCCCGGCUUCUUAGGGUCAGCGCUGUCCCCCGUGGUCUGGGUGUGUCCCAGCAGUGUGGGGCAGGAGCACAUGUCAGGCCGCGGGAGGUGUGCAGUGCUGGUGGGCAGCACAGGAGGAGCAGCCAAAUGCCCGCGCAGCAUCAGGGCGGCUGUGUGUGUUGCUGAUGGGAUCCGUGCGGUGCUUGAGGAGGACGCCUGUGUGCCUUCUGCUGAGCAGCGACGCAGCACUGCUUGCUUACGGUGAGCUUGGUCCUGCAAGGGAUGGGCUUGUGGUGAGCGUGUGUGACGCGUGGCUGUGUUCAUUACAGCACUGCUGAUGCUUCCUGCUGUUAACAUUUGAACAUCUGAUCUCUUCAGCAAGGAGGAAUUGUAAUGUUUAAUGAAGUUUUCAAGCUGUAGUCUCAAAACACAAGUUUUUGUUUCAAAUUGAGGCGUCCAAAACCAAUCAGACUCAAAUAUAGAGCUUUUCCAGUGUGAAAUGGAGCUGUGGUUUCUGAGCAACUUUCUGCCCCCUUUUCUUUGCAGAGCUGCAGGGCUGAAGGGCUUUGGAAAAUCUCAAGUGCAGCACUCACACACCACUCACACAUCUUUCCACUGCGUGUUUCCAGUACAGCAGCCAAUACUACAUGCUGGAUAUUCCUACUAUAAACCUCACAUGCCGUAAAAUACAGUUUGCAAACCACAACUACUCCUGCACCCCCAUCCCCCCAUGGUGCUGCCCUAUAACCCAAUCAGUAGGUCAGAUAUCUCCCCAGGCACAUUGCUUGUUGAUACCUGAGCUGAGAGUUUCCUACCAGGGCCGAAUGUCAUAAGGGUUUGCUUCGUGCAAGACGAUAGCUUUGCACAAGCAGGUUGCCUUGUACAGGCUUCGUGCACCUCAUCUCUGGAUGCCUUACAGCUGGAAAGUGCAGCCAGUCGGUAAAUCAGCACCAAUGCUGCCACCUUUUGGGAACCGGUGACAAUUCAUGCCUACAGCACAAUAGGUUUUGCUAGAGCUGGAGGCAGGAGCAACCAGUAUGCUGUUCUGCAGCUCUGAUCUCCUGCACACCACAGAGACUUUCUGUAGUUCUGCACUGAACUUCAUGUCUUCCAGCACCACCUAUGGGGUUUCCUCAAGAAAAUGAUGAUGAUCUACAUUGUUCCAGUGCAUCCAUUUUUGUCUAGAGAGCAGUUCCAGUCUUUAAUCGGUGAACGGGUCUCACUUUCAAUUCCCACCUUCUUUUGCAGCCCCCAUUCCCACAGUCAGGUUUCUGUUGGGUUCUCAUAGCCGUGGCGUUGUCCCCACAGCCCUACUCUCACCUCCAUCAAUUCACAGUCCUGUCGUAUGUUGUCAGUGUGCCUCAAGGAAGCACACAGCCCUUCCUAAAAGCCUUGGAUGAGGAAAGCCAGGUGGAGAUAGUCCAGGGGGCUUCUGGGACCAUUUCUGCAGUGGAGGAUAACUUUCCUAGGGCAGGGUACUGCUAUGCAUCCUUAGUGGUAACAUCUUAGGAGGGAACUUUAAUUUCUGUGGUUGGUUAGGGGCUCAGGGAGUGGAAUUGGACCCAAUUCUGAUUGCCCAUCCUUCCUGCCAACAGUGCUGGCUGUAUGGAAACAUAUGGCUUUGCUUCGUCUGUUUUGUGGUGCUAUUGAUGGUGUUGACUGCUUAGUACAACUUGUUAUUUCCUCUAGAUUUUGCAUUAACUUGGAACAAAAAGAAAAAGAAAAAAAAAAAAAGAAAAAAAAAAAACCCCAACCCUCACUGUAGAAUGAAAGCUGUGAACACAACUCUCAAACAGGAUGUCUUAUUCAAAAGAGGCUGCCUUAAUGCACCCUUUUGUCAUCAACAAAACAAACUCUAUUCAGUGCUAGGUUUCACUUUUAGCAGCCUGGUGCCCAGCACUGCUGUGAAGAGGAGUGACUGCUGUUUUCCAUACCGAGUCCCCUAGAACUGCUGCCCUGUGCUUGUGAGCGUUGGACUCUACUUGUCAUAUAACAAUUCAUGUUUAAGACAUAACCUGCAAACGUUACUUUCAUGCAAUUAAUUUACUUACAUUUAACCUUUUGCAGUUAUAGAACUGUAAAAGGAUCUACCAGAGACUGGUCAAUAAAGGAUCAAGUGAAAUUCAGAA
Long non-coding RNA from Gallus gallus (chicken), 6027 nucleotides. RefSeq lists it as uncharacterized. The transcript is spliced from 2 exons. NCBI's taxonomy places the organism in Eukaryota, Metazoa, Chordata, Aves, Galliformes, Phasianidae. The record is from RefSeq and is a predicted model, not a curated record.